GUGUACGGCCAGGCUACCCUGAACACUCCCCAUCCCUUCUGAUCUCGGAAGCUAAGCAGGGUCGGGCCUGCUACAGCAUCUAGGAAGACCAGGUGCUGUAGGCA
Molecule: ribosomal RNA, 104 nt
Filed under: Pteropus alecto (black flying fox)
Lineage: Eukaryota; Metazoa; Chordata; Mammalia; Chiroptera; Pteropodidae
Source: RNAcentral